This 467-nucleotide long non-coding RNA is filed under the name Musa acuminata (dwarf banana). RNAcentral describes it as "long non-coding RNA (MACU_LNC004180)". Lineage: Eukaryota; Viridiplantae; Streptophyta; Magnoliopsida; Zingiberales; Musaceae. The record is from RNAcentral.
AUCUCUUCGGGACUGUCCUCUUAAUCAUCAUAUUACUGACUCUGUGGGCUGAGGACGCGUCCUCCUUCCUCGUCAACUUUCUGCUUGCCUUUUGGUUUUCCCAACUCCGAAGUCUGCUGAGCUGCUUCGACGUCGACGUACUAAAUCAUAACCAUACUGAUGAUUGACACAAUAAUAUACACUCGAUCGUCUCCAUCCCUCCAUACACCACCAUUCGGUAGAAAGAGCUCGGACCGUUGGCUUGGGAACACUGCAGCAUCAUCGAUCUCUGGUCCCAAGCCGCCCCCAUAUCAGGACACGCCCUCAGAGUCUCUCUCUCUCUCUCUCUCUUGAUCGCUGGCUUCCAAAUCUUCUUCAAUGGUGGAGGAGGACGGGGGAUCUAUGCCUUUUGGAACAUGAGCUUUCCGCGGAAUUAUUGUGAUGCCUUUUGGAAAUGGACUUCUCCCAUGACACGCACUUGUCCUCCU